CCUACGGGUGGCAGCAGUGGGGAAUAUUGCACAAUGGGCGAAAGCCUGACGCAGCGACGCCGCGUGAGUGAUGAAGGACCUCGGUAUGUAAAGCUCUAUUAGCAGGGAAGAAAAAGUCGGUACUUGACUAAGAACCCCCGGCCAACUACGAGCCAGCAGCCGCCGUAAUACGUAGGGGGCAAGCGUUAUCCGGAUUUACUGGGUGUAAAGGGAGCGUAGACGGCGCUGCAAGUAGGAUGUGAAAGCCCAUGGCUUAACCGUGGUGCGGCACUGGAAACUGUGGAGCUUGAGUGCGGGAGAGGCAGGCGGAAUUCCUAGUGUAGCGGUGAAAUGCGUAGAUAUUAGGAGGAACACCAGCGGCGAAGGCGGCCUGCUGGACCGUAACUGACGCUGAGGCUCGAAAGCGUGGGGAGCAAACAGGAUUAGAUACCCGGGUAGUC
RNAcentral lists this ribosomal RNA (440 nucleotides) under uncultured bacterium. Its description in RNAcentral is "partial 16S ribosomal RNA". It matches the Rfam family "Bacterial small subunit ribosomal RNA", at positions 338 to 795 of the family's 1533-position model. The record is from RNAcentral.